GCCGGGAUGAUCCUCGGUGGUCCGGGGUGCAGGCUUCAAACCUGUAGCCGAUUGACGUCGGAGUGGUUCGAUUCCACCUUCUCGGC
This 86-nucleotide transfer RNA is filed under the name Fasciola gigantica. RNAcentral's name for it is "Selenocysteine transfer RNA". It matches the Rfam family "Selenocysteine transfer RNA". Lineage: Eukaryota; Metazoa; Platyhelminthes; Trematoda; Plagiorchiida; Fasciolidae. The record is from Rfam by way of RNAcentral.